This 410-nucleotide ribosomal RNA is filed under the name uncultured bacterium. RNAcentral's name for it is "bacterial SSU rRNA". It matches the Rfam family "Bacterial small subunit ribosomal RNA", at positions 350 to 751 of the family's 1533-position model. The record is from RNAcentral.
AGCAGUAGGGAAUCUUCCGCAAUGGACGAAAGUCUGACGGAGCAACGCCGCGUGAGUGAUGAAGGUUUUCGGAUCGUAAAACUCUGUUGUUAGGGAAGAACAAGUACCAGAGUAACUGCUGGUACCUUGACGGUACCUAACCAGAAAGCCACGGCUAACUACGUGCCAGCAGCCGCGGUAAUACGUAGGUGGCAAGCGUUGUCCGGAAUUAUUGGGCGUAAAGCGCGCGCAGGCGGUCCUUUAAGUCUGAUGUGAAAGCCCACGGCUCAAACCGUGGAGGGUCAUUGGAAACUGGGGGACUUGAGUACAGAAGAGAGGAGUGGAAUUCCACGUGUAGCGGUGAAAUGCGUAGAGAUGUGGAGGAACACCAGUGGCGAAGGCGACUCUUUGGUCUGUAACUGACGCUGAGG